RNAcentral lists this microRNA (20 nucleotides) under Hippoglossus hippoglossus (Atlantic halibut). RNAcentral describes it as "hhi-miR-7795". The record is from miRBase by way of RNAcentral. Lineage: Eukaryota; Metazoa; Chordata; Actinopteri; Pleuronectiformes; Pleuronectidae.
AGGAGACACGUGAUGCUCUG